RNAcentral lists this ribosomal RNA (362 nucleotides) under uncultured bacterium. RNAcentral's name for it is "partial 16S ribosomal RNA". It matches the Rfam family "Bacterial small subunit ribosomal RNA", at positions 338 to 697 of the family's 1533-position model. The record is from RNAcentral.
CCUACGGGGGGCAGCAGUGAGGAAUAUUGGUCAAUGGGCGGGAGCCUGAACCAGCCAAGUCGCGUGAGGGAAGACGGUCCUAUGGAUUGUAAACCUCUUUAGGCGGGGAGCAAUGCCGGGCACGCGUGCCCGGAGGGAGAGUACCCGCAGAAUAAGCAUCGGCUAACUCCGUGCCAGCAGCCGCGGUAAUACGGAGGAUGCGAGGGUUAUCCGGAUUUAUUGGGUUUAAAGGGUGCGUAGGCGGAUUUUUAAGUUGGCGGGAAAAUGUCCGGGCUCAACCCGGGCCGGCCGGUGAAACUGGGGAUUUUGAGGGGGCGAGAAGUAUGCGGAAUGCGGGGUGUAGCGGUGAAAUGCAUAGAUAU